AAGUCGGUGGUUCAGUGGUAGAAUACUCGCCUGCCACGCGGGUGGCCCGGGUUCGAUUCCCGGCCGACGCA
Molecule: transfer RNA, 71 nt
Filed under: Rhipicephalus microplus (southern cattle tick)
Lineage: Eukaryota; Metazoa; Arthropoda; Arachnida; Ixodida; Ixodidae
Also listed under: 4 other names
Description: tRNA-Gly
Rfam family: tRNA
About the family: Transfer RNA (tRNA) molecules are approximately 80 nucleotides in length. Their secondary structure includes four short double-helical elements and three loops (D, anti-codon, and T loops). Further hydrogen bonds mediate the characteristic L-shaped molecular structure. tRNAs have two regions of fundamental functional importance: the anti-codon, which is responsible for specific mRNA codon recognition, and the 3' end, to which the tRNAs corresponding amino acid is attached (by aminoacyl-tRNA synthetases). tRNAs cope with the degeneracy of the genetic code in two manners: having more than one tRNA (with a specific anti-codon) for a particular amino acid; and 'wobble' base-pairing, i.e. permitting non-standard base-pairing at the 3rd anti-codon position.
Source: Rfam by way of RNAcentral